Molecule: ribosomal RNA, 504 nt
Filed under: uncultured bacterium
Lineage: Bacteria
Description: partial 16S ribosomal RNA
Rfam family: Bacterial small subunit ribosomal RNA
Source: RNAcentral
AUUGAACGCUGGCGGCAGGCCUAACACAUGCAAGUCGAGCGGUAGCACAGAGAGCUUGCUCUCGGGUGACGAGCGGCGGACGGGUGAGUAAUGUCUGGGAAACUGCCUGAUGGAGGGGGAUAACUACUGGAAACGGUAGCUAAUACCGCAUAAUGUCGCAAGACCAAAGUGGGGGACCUUCGGGCCUCAUGCCAUCAGAUGUGCCCAGAUGGGAUUAGCUAGUAGGUGGGGUAACGGCUCACCUAGGCGACGAUCCCUAGCUGGUCUGAGAGGAUGACCAGCCACACUGGAACUGAGACACGGUCCAGACUCCUACGGGAGGCAGCAGUGGGGAAUAUUGCACAAUGGGCGCAAGCCUGAUGCAGCCAUGCCGCGUGUAUGAAGAAGGCCUUCGGGUUGUAAAGUACUUUCAGCGGGGAGGAAGGCGAUAAGGUUAAUAACCUUGUCGAUUGACGUUACCCGCAGAAGAAGCACCGGCUAACUCCGUGCCAGCAGCCGCGGUAA